GACGAACGCUGGCGGCGUGCUUAACACAUGCAAGUCGAGCGGUAAGGCCUUUCGGGGUACACGAGCGGCGAACGGGUGAGUAACACGUGGGUGAUCUGCCCUGCACUCUGGGAUAAGCUUGGGAAACUGGGUCUAAUACCGGAUAUGACCRCAKSMYGCAUGKKKUGUGGUGGAAAGAUUUAUCGGUGCAGGAUGGGCCCGCGGCCUAUCAGCUUGUUGGUGGGGUAAUGGCCUACCAAGGCGACGACGGGUAGCCGACCUGAGAGGGUGACCGGCCACACUGGGACUGAGACACGGCCCAGACUCCUACGGGAGGCAGCAGUGGGGAAUAUUGCACAAUGGGCGGAAGCCUGAUGCAGCGACGCCGCGUGAGGGAUGAAGGCCUUCGGGUUGUAAACCUCUUUCAGCAGGGACGAA
RNAcentral lists this ribosomal RNA (417 nucleotides) under Rhodococcus sp. 2C1. RNAcentral's name for it is "bacterial SSU rRNA". It matches the Rfam family "Bacterial small subunit ribosomal RNA", at positions 28 to 449 of the family's 1533-position model. The record is from RNAcentral. Lineage: Bacteria; Bacillati; Actinomycetota; Actinomycetes; Mycobacteriales; Nocardiaceae.